GGCCCUAUCGUCUAGCCUGGUCUAGGACAUAUGGUUCUCAGCCAUAAGACAGGGGUUCAAAUCCCCUUGGGGCUACCA
This 78-nucleotide transfer RNA is filed under the name Candidatus Omnitrophota bacterium. Its description in RNAcentral is "tRNA-Glu". It matches the Rfam family "tRNA". Rfam says of the family: Transfer RNA (tRNA) molecules are approximately 80 nucleotides in length. The record is from RNAcentral. Lineage: Bacteria; Pseudomonadati; Candidatus Omnitrophota.